RNAcentral lists this long non-coding RNA (363 nucleotides) under Mustela putorius furo (domestic ferret). Its description in RNAcentral is "lncRNA (ENSMPUG00000030898.1)". Lineage: Eukaryota; Metazoa; Chordata; Mammalia; Carnivora; Mustelidae. The record is from RNAcentral.
GCCUCCUGGGAGCCUGGACAUGGCCCACGGGGACAUUGCUAGCUGUGGGCAGAGGGCUGUCCUGCGGCAAGGCAGCUGGUGCAUGCACAAGUCCACUAGCGCAUCGUGUCUGUGGAUACCCAGAGAUUUUCUUGAAUGAAUGAUGGGGCGAUAUGGAACAUCAUUCAUGUAUCACUUCAGUAUAUAUUUAGUAGCCCCCUGCUGUGGGCCAGGCACCAUGCCACAAUGCGCAUAUGGGGUGAGCAAGAAGAGGUGCCCCCUGCCCUGAUCCUGCAGUCAAGCCAGCUGCCAUGUUUUGAGCCAACCUAUGGAGAAGCCCAUGUGACAAGGAACUCAGAGAAUGUUCCAACAAACAGCCCUUGA